GACGUCACUUUUGGAGAAAGGAAAAGGCGGGGGACUACAUAUCCCAGAAUGCUCCGUGGAUGCGGAAGUGGUUGGUGCCGACCUUGGGAAAACUACAGUAUUAAAGCAUGGCGAAUAAAGAGCCCAACUUCCUUCAACAUUUGAGGGAUUUUCUGGACGUAUGUCCUUUGGUCCACGGGGUGCAGGGACUGGACUGAAAUUACUAGUCGGUGCUGGUGUACUUGGCUAUGGGAUUAAAGAACCCUCAUAUACAGUGAAAGGUGGUCAGCAGGAUUGGUGGAAUUCAGAUGGAUGCAAUUCUGUCUGAGGGUCUGCACUAUAGGAUACCAUGGUUUCAGUACCCCAUUACAUAUGAUAUCAGAGCAAAACCAUGCAGGAUUUCCUUCUUAACUCUUUCACUUUUUAUCCUUCGGGAGCUGUUUGAACGUGCUAAAGAUUUCAACAUCAUCCUCGACGAUAUCGCCAUCACAGAGCUGAGCUUCAGCAGAGAGUACAGCAGCUGUAGAGGCCAAAUAAGUUGCCCAGCAGGUGGCACAGAGAACAGUGAAAAAAGCUAAACAGGAUAAAAAAAAAAAAAAGAUUAUCCAAGCUGAAGAAGAGGCCCAAGCAGCCAAAAUGAUUGCAACUUCCCAGAACAGAGUAUAUCUGAAUGCAGACAGCCAAGCCCUAAACCUUCAGGAUGAGUCAUUUAAUAGAUUGUCGCUGAAUAAAAGGAAGUAACCCACCAGAGAGCGCUUGCAUUCUGCACUUAUAAGGUUGUGUGUGCAAUGAUCCAUUCACUGCAGGGUUCACAUUCUUCAGGUGCCACUUUCAAAGGACUUAAUCUAAUAAUUACCCUUGAAAUUCAUUAGAUACGUUCAACAACAAGAUUUCUUUAAUUUACACUAUUUUCAGCUAUAUAUUGCAGUUCUAUGCAACAAAGAUCUGUUAUGAAAUUCUUAAUUCAAUGCCUGUUUUACUGAUUGUUGCCAUUAAAUGUAUUAAUGUGAUGUACAAAAAUCUUUUAAAGUCCCCCAAUUUUCUGAAAAAUACCAUGGCUGUAUUCCAGUGAGACUCAGGCAUGAAAGGAUGACAAAAUAAAAACUUUUUGUGUUCAAGA
This is a long non-coding RNA of Silurus meridionalis, 1099 nucleotides long. RefSeq lists it as uncharacterized. The record is from RefSeq and is a predicted model, not a curated record. The transcript has 8 exons. Lineage: Eukaryota; Metazoa; Chordata; Actinopteri; Siluriformes; Siluridae.